RNAcentral lists this ribosomal RNA (272 nucleotides) under uncultured Chlamydiales bacterium. RNAcentral's name for it is "partial 16S ribosomal RNA". It matches the Rfam family "Bacterial small subunit ribosomal RNA", at positions 44 to 302 of the family's 1533-position model. Lineage: Bacteria; Pseudomonadati; Chlamydiota; Chlamydiia; Chlamydiales. The record is from RNAcentral.
GUGGAUGAGGCAUGCAAGUCGAACGGAUUAAGAUAGCUUGCUAUUUUGAUUAGUGGCGGAAGGGUUAGGAAUACAUGGGUAAUCUGCCUUUAACUUGGGAAUAACGGUUGGAAACGACCGCUAAUACCGAAUGUGGUGGGGCGCGGCAUCGCGCCUUCAUUAAAGCGGGGGAUCGUAAGACCUCGCGGUUAAAGAAGAGCCCAUGCGAUAUCAGCUAGUUGGUGAGGUAAUGGCUCACCAAGGCUAAGACGUCUAGGCGGAUUGAGAGAUUG